RNAcentral lists this transfer RNA (77 nucleotides) under Candidatus Daviesbacteria bacterium RIFCSPLOWO2_02_FULL_36_7. RNAcentral's name for it is "tRNA-Val". It matches the Rfam family "tRNA". Rfam says of the family: Transfer RNA (tRNA) molecules are approximately 80 nucleotides in length. Their secondary structure includes four short double-helical elements and three loops (D, anti-codon, and T loops). The record is from RNAcentral. Lineage: Bacteria; Candidatus Daviesiibacteriota.
GGACAAGUAGCUCAGUUGAUUAGAGCGCCUCAUUUACACUGAGGAGGUCACAGGUUUGAGUCCUGUCUUGUCCACCA